UACGAAGGGGGCUAGCGUCGCUCGGAAUUACUGGGCGUAAAGGGAGCGUAGGCGGACAUUUAAGUCAGGGGUGAAGUCCCAGAGCUCAACUCUGGAACUGCCUUUGAUACUGGGUGUCUUGAGUGUGAUAGAGGUAAGUGGAACUCCGAGUGUAGAGGUGAAAUUCGUAGAUAUUCGGAGGAACACCAGUGGCGAAGGCGACUUACUGGAUCAUUACUGACGCUGAGGCUCGAAAGCGUGGGGAGCAAACAGG
Molecule: ribosomal RNA, 253 nt
Filed under: uncultured bacterium
Lineage: Bacteria
Description: partial 16S ribosomal RNA
Rfam family: Bacterial small subunit ribosomal RNA
Source: RNAcentral